This is a non-coding RNA of Acanthosepion pharaonis, 109 nucleotides long. Lineage: Eukaryota; Metazoa; Mollusca; Cephalopoda; Sepiida; Sepiidae. The record is from the annotation of a GenBank genome assembly.
UACGGCCAUGUUAGGUUUAAACUCCGGUUCUCGUACGAUCACUGAAGUUAAGCAACUUAGUCUGGUCAGUACAUAGAUGAGUGGCCGCUUGGGAAUACUAGGCACAGUA